RNAcentral lists this ribosomal RNA (403 nucleotides) under Babesia sp. Kayseri 1. RNAcentral's name for it is "SSU rRNA". It matches the Rfam family "Eukaryotic small subunit ribosomal RNA", at positions 452 to 922 of the family's 1831-position model. Lineage: Eukaryota; Apicomplexa; Aconoidasida; Piroplasmida; Babesiidae. The record is from RNAcentral.
UGACACAGGGAGGUAGUGACAAGAAAUAACAAUACAGGGCUACUGUCUUGUAAUUGGAAUGAUGGUGACUUAAACCCUCACCAGAGUACCAAUUGGAGGGCAAGUCUGGUGCCAGCAGCCGCGGUAAUUCCAGCUCCAAUAGCGUAUAUUAAACUUGUUGCAGUUAAAAAGCUCGUAGUUGAAUUUCAGCGUUUCGCGUGUGCCUCUUUUGGCCCAUCUCGUCUCGCUUUUUUUAUUACUUUGAGAAAAUUAGAGUGUUUCAAGCAGGCUUUUGUCUUGAAUACUUGAGCAUGGAAUAAUAGAGUAGGACCUUGGUUCUAUUUUGUUGGUUUUGUUACCUUGGUAAUGGUUAAUAGGAACGGUUGGGGGCAUUCGUAUUUAACUGUCAGAGGUGAAAUUCUUA